Neogale vison (American mink) is the source of this 828-nucleotide long non-coding RNA. RefSeq lists it as uncharacterized. The transcript is spliced from 3 exons. NCBI's taxonomy places the organism in Eukaryota, Metazoa, Chordata, Mammalia, Carnivora, Mustelidae. The record is from RefSeq and is a predicted model, not a curated record.
GGUUUUCUCGGUGGGCCCGGCAUCAUCACAAGGGUCCUCAUGUGGGGAUGAGAAGAGCUGAAGAUUCAGAGCCAAAGAGACGGUGUCUUGUGGGAGAUUUGCAGACUUUGACCAGGGAGGCAGGGGCCGUGAGCCAAAGAAUGGGGACGGCCUCUCCAAGCUCGAGAAGGCGGGGAUACCUGUUUCCCUCCUCCAGAGCCUCCAGAAAGGAAUGCGUUUCUGCCAACACCUUCGUUUUAGCUCUGUGAGGCCCAGUUUGGACUUCUGACCCACCGAACUCUCAGCUGGAAGGUCCUCAGGGUGGGGACCCUGUGUGUCUUCACGGCCCCAGCCCGUGAUGCCCGGCCCGGAGUGGGCAUCUGAGUGAAAGAACGGGUGGAAAGCAACUGGUCUCUUCACUGUCAAUGUGCCGGUUGAUUUACCAAUUCCUCGAGAUGGGGCCAUCUUGCUCAGGGGACUAUGAACACUUUCCUGGGCUGUUUGGAGCCAGUCCUGGUCCUUUCAGUGUUCUCGUGCACUUCUUCACGUCCAUGGAAAUAAAAGGAAAUGAAACCAAAACAAUGAUUUGACAUUCGGAGGGAAAAGGCCCGGAAUGACAGGAGGCUGAAGUGACCGCGAACGUUCGUCCGCUCCUCAGGGAUUGACUUUUGUCGCCCCAGCACCGCUGGCAGGGACCUGGAGCCGAUGAGGCAGUGUUCUCCCCAGCCACACCUUUAAGCGAGGCUGACGUGGAGGUCAUGCACAGCCUGACUGGUGGUGACAGUCGCAACCUGACUGGGCCCCAGAUGUUCACACAGGAGAAAUGAAAACGUCUGUUCGCACAGAAAC